GACGAACGCUGGCGGCGUGCUUAACACAUGCAAGUCGAACGGAAAGGCCCUGCUUGCAGGGUACUCGAGUGGCGAACGGGUGAGUAACACGUGGGUGAUCUGCCCUGCACUUCGGGAUAAGCCUGGGAAACUGGGUCUAAUACCGGAUAGGAGCCAUUUUUAGUGUGAUGGUUGGAAAGUUUUUUCGGUGUAGGAUGAGCUCGCGGCCUAUCAGCUUGUUGGUGGGGUAAUGGCCUACCAAGGCGGCGACGGGUAGCCGGCCUGAGAGGGUGGACGGCCACAUUGGGACUUGGAUACGGCCCAGACUCCUACGGGAGGCAGCAGUGGGGAAUAUUGGACAAUGGGCGCAAGCCUGAUGCAGCGACGCCGCGGGGGGGAUGACGGCCCUCGGGUUGUAAACUCCUUUCGCUAGGGACGAAGCUUUUUGUGACGGUACCUAGAGAAGAAGCACCGGCUAACUACGUG
Molecule: ribosomal RNA, 465 nt
Filed under: uncultured bacterium
Lineage: Bacteria
Description: partial 16S ribosomal RNA
Rfam family: Bacterial small subunit ribosomal RNA
Source: RNAcentral